This is an RNA transcript of Fragaria vesca subsp. vesca, 889 nucleotides long. RefSeq lists it as uncharacterized. The transcript has 6 exons. Lineage: Eukaryota; Viridiplantae; Streptophyta; Magnoliopsida; Rosales; Rosaceae. The record is from RefSeq and is a predicted model, not a curated record.
CUCCUUGCCUCCUUCAGUCAAGAACGAGAGAGAGAGAGAGACUAGAGUCGAAACCUUAGCCCGCCGCAGCCGAGUUUUUGCCACCGUCCUCUGCAGCCGAGUUUUUGUCACCGUCCUCUGCAGCCGAGUUUUCGCCACCGUCCGGCAACAUCUUCACCUCCCACCAUACUAUUCGCACCCUCUCUCCGUCCUCUACCCUAACCCAGUUUUGGUUCACACAUUUGGGGUCCUCUCUAAUUCGAAUUAAAUAAGGACAGUUCGUCGGACUUUGCUUUUCCAACGAGCUUCCUCGUCUCCGGUCACCUGCUAUUCACCCUUGAGAAAAUAUCUCCCUUACCCAUCAAACUAUGACGGCUUCUUCUGGUGUGGACAGGUAACGUCUACGUGAUUGUUGAUGAGGGAAAACAUAUACUAUGGACUGCAUCUGUGGAGAAGAAGAUUUGUAGGAUGGCUAUAACUGCAUAUCAUUUUGGAGCAUUUUCAGCAGCUAGAUGUGCAUUGGUAUCUCACAAAUAUACGAGUGUAGUCACAUUUUGUGGGAUGAAACCAGCAACUUCUCUUGGGCAUUAAACAUGCAAAUAUGCAACUAAUCAGCCUGUUAUUGUUAGCUUCGUCAAGGAACAAGAAGCCUUACAAUUUCAGAUGAUUUGCAACUCUGAACAAAGUGUGUAUCAACACUUGGUGCUAGGCCUGAACAUGCUACAGAAGAGCUAUUAACUUCAUUGUAGUUUUGGUUUGUAAACCUGUAAGCUUAUCUCUUAUAUAAUCUUGAAGUAGAGGAAAAGAAGUACUUUGAAUUGUUCUGUAAACUCUUGUAUAGAGCUUCAUUUACUUUUUGUACAGCUUUUAUCCACAAAACUCUUCUAUAUAGUUCUUAUGCAAAAUUCGC